AGCUCCAAGAGCGUAUAUUAAAGUUGUUGCAGUUAAAAAGCUCGUAGUUGGAUUUCUGGUACAAUGCGCCUGGCCCGCCAAGGUUACUUGUGUGAGUGCCGGUGCGCGUUUGCCAUCCUUCUAGAGAACGUUUCUACCCUUCGCUGGGCCGGACUCGCGAUCUAGAUCUUUUACUUUGAAAAAAUUAGAGUGUUUAAAGCAGGCUAUCGCUAUGAAUACAUUAGCAUGGAAUAAUAAUCUAGGACUUCGGUUCUAUUUUGUUGGUUUCUAGUACUGAAGUAAUGAUUGAUAGGGAUAGUUGGGGGUGCUAGUAUUGGCCGGCCAGAGGUGAAAUUCUUGGAUUCGGUCAAGACUAACUUAUGCGAAAGCAUUCACCAAGGAUGUCUUCUUUAAUCAAGAA
RNAcentral lists this ribosomal RNA (400 nucleotides) under phytoplankton environmental sample. RNAcentral's name for it is "partial small subunit ribosomal RNA". It matches the Rfam family "Eukaryotic small subunit ribosomal RNA", at positions 587 to 983 of the family's 1831-position model. The record is from RNAcentral.